RNAcentral lists this ribosomal RNA (208 nucleotides) under uncultured bacterium. Its description in RNAcentral is "partial 16S ribosomal RNA". It matches the Rfam family "Bacterial small subunit ribosomal RNA", at positions 524 to 730 of the family's 1533-position model. The record is from RNAcentral.
UACGUAGGGGGCGAGCGUUGUCCGGAUUUAUUGGGCGUAAAGAGCGUGUAGGCGGCCAGGUAGGUCUGCUGUGAAAAACUCGAGGCUCAACCUCGAGACGUCGGCGGAAACCAUCUGGCUAGAGUCCGGAAGAGGAGAGUGGAAUUCCGUGGUGUAGCGGUGAAAUGCGCAGAUAUCAGGAGGAACACCCGUGGCGAAGGCGGUCUCU